CGUCACUGUCCGCCAGGGCAGCCGGAGCCGGGGACCCACCGAGACUUGGGGUGAAUCGGCCCACUCUUCGGAGAGGCCGUAGGGCAACCCUUCCACCCGCCCGAACCCGACAGCUAACCCGGUAGGCGGAGCACCGGAAGGAGUC
RNAcentral lists this small RNA (145 nucleotides) under Streptomyces sp. Its description in RNAcentral is "c-di-AMP sequence". It matches the Rfam family "c-di-AMP riboswitch aptamer (ydaO/yuaA leader)". Rfam says of the family: This family represents a conserved RNA structure found upstream of the ydaO and yuaA genes in Bacillus subtilis and related genes in other bacteria. The ydaO/yuaA element is thought to act as a genetic "off" switch for the ydaO and yuaA genes in its native state. Lineage: Bacteria; Bacillati; Actinomycetota; Actinomycetes; Kitasatosporales; Streptomycetaceae. The record is from RNAcentral.